GAUGAACGCUGGCGGCGUGCUUAACACAUGCAAGUCGAACGAAGCACCUUAUUCUGAUUUCUUCGGAAUGAAAAAUUUGGUGACUGAGUGGCGGACGGGUGAGUAACGCGUGGGUAACCUGCCUCAUACAGGGGGAUAACAGUUAGAAAUGACUGCUAAUACCGCAUAAGACCACAGCACCGCAUGGUGCAGGGGUAAAAACUCCGGUGGUAUGAUAUGGACCCGCGUCUGACUAGGUAGUUGGUGGGGUAACGGCCUACCAAGCCGACGAUCAGUAGCCGACCUGGGAGGGUGACCGACCACAUAAGGACUGAGACACGGCCCAAACUCCUACGGGAGGCAGCAGUGGUGAAUAUGGCACAAUGGGUGCAACCCUGCUGCAGCGACGCCGCGUGAAGGAAGAAGUAUUUCGGUAUGUAAACUUCUAUCAGCAAGGAAGAAAAUGACGGUACUUGACUAAGAAGCCCCGGCUAAAUACGUGCCAGCCGCCGCAGUAA
Molecule: ribosomal RNA, 497 nt
Filed under: uncultured bacterium
Lineage: Bacteria
Description: partial 16S ribosomal RNA
Rfam family: Bacterial small subunit ribosomal RNA
Source: RNAcentral